This 500-nucleotide ribosomal RNA is filed under the name uncultured bacterium. RNAcentral describes it as "partial 16S ribosomal RNA". It matches the Rfam family "Bacterial small subunit ribosomal RNA", at positions 30 to 523 of the family's 1533-position model. The record is from RNAcentral.
AUUGAACGCUGGCGGCAUGCCUUACACAUGCAAGUCGAACGGCAGCGGGGACUUCGGUCCGCCGGUGAGUGGCGAACGGGUGAGUAAUAUAUCGGAACGUACCUUUCAGUGGGGGAUAACGUAGCGAAAGUUACGCUAAUACCGCAUAUUCUGUGAGCAGGAAAGCAGGGGAUCUUCGGACCUUGCGCUGAUUGAGCGGCCGAUAUCAGAUUAGCUAGUUGGUGAGGUAAAGGCUCACCAAGGCGACGAUCUGUAGCGGGUCUGAGAGGAUGAUCCGCCACACUGGAACUGAGACACGGUCCAGACUCCUACGGGAGGCAGCAGUGGGGAAUUUUGGACAAUGGGGGCAACCCUGAUCCAGCCAUGCCGCGUGAGUGAAGAAGGCCUUCGGGUUGUAAAGCUCUUUCGGCCGGGAAGAAAUCGCACGGGUUAAUACCCCGUGUGGAUGACGGUACCUGGAUAAGAAGCACCGGCCAACUACGUGCCAGCCGCCGCAGUAA